ACAGCAGCAGCCGCGGUAAUACAGAGGGUGCGAGCGUUAAUCGGAUUUACUGGGCGUAAAGCGUGCGUAGGCGGCUUCUUAAGUCGGAUGUGAAAUCCCUGAGCUUAACUUAGGAAUUGCAUUCGAUACUGGGAAGCUAGAGUAUGGGAGAGGAUGGUAGAAUUUCAGGUGUAGCGGUGAAAUGCGUAGAGAUCUGGAGGAAUACCGAUGGCGAAGGCAGCCAUCUGGCCUAAUACUGACGCUGAGGUACGAAAGCAUGGGGAGCAAACAGGAUUAGAUACCCCCGUAGUCCCUGUCUCUUAUAC
Molecule: ribosomal RNA, 305 nt
Filed under: uncultured bacterium
Lineage: Bacteria
Description: partial 16S ribosomal RNA
Rfam family: Bacterial small subunit ribosomal RNA
Source: RNAcentral